RNAcentral lists this long non-coding RNA (354 nucleotides) under Mytilus galloprovincialis (Mediterranean mussel). The record is from RNAcentral. Lineage: Eukaryota; Metazoa; Mollusca; Bivalvia; Mytilida; Mytilidae.
CUGGCGGGAAAAAAUGGUAACAUCAUGAUAUGUCUGUUGAUUCAGAGAAAUGUUGUUUUAAGCCAUUACAAAAAAAAAGUAAAAUCUCAAAAAAUCGAACUCCGAUGAAAAUUCAAAACAAAAAGUCCCUAAUCAAAUGGCCAAAAAUCAAAAGCUCAAACACAUCAAACGAAUUGAUAACAACAGUCAUAUUCCUGACUUUGUACAUGCAUUUUCAUAUUUAGAAAAUGGUGGAUUAAAUCUGGUUUUAUAGCUUGCUCAGCUCACUUGUAUGACAGUCGCAUCAAAUUCCAUUAUAUUGACAACGAUGUGUGAACAAAACAAACAGACAUCUUUUGGAGAGUUGACUAAUAG